AAGCCUUCAAAAUGAUAAACUAAGGACAGGCUAUAGUAAGACCAUACAUGUGUCUCCAGACCUCGUUCUUUACCUAAGUCUGGUUUUCUAAAUGCUUGUGACAAGC
This is a small nucleolar RNA of Phodopus roborovskii (desert hamster), 106 nucleotides long. RefSeq annotates it as small nucleolar RNA SNORA72. The transcript has a single exon. NCBI's taxonomy places the organism in Eukaryota, Metazoa, Chordata, Mammalia, Rodentia, Cricetidae. The record is from RefSeq and is a predicted model, not a curated record.